CCUACGGGUGGCAGCAGUGGGGAAUAUUGGGCAAUGGGCGCAAGCCUGACCCAGCAACGCCGCGUGAGGGAAGAAGGCUUUCGGGAUGUAAACCUCUUUUCUGAGGGACGAAGAAAGUGACGGUACCUCAGGAAUAAGCCACGGCUAACUACGUGCCAGCAGCCGCGGUAAUACGUAGGGGGCAAGCGUUAUCCGGAUUUAGUGGGUGUAAAAGGCGUGUAGGCGGGAAAGCAAGUCAGAUGGGAAAACUCAGGGCUCAACCCUGAGACUGCAUGUGAAACUGGUUUUCUUGAGUGCAGGAGAGGCAAGCGGAAUUCCGGGUGUAGCGGUGAAAUGCGUAGAUAUAAGGAGGAACACCAGUGGCGAAGGCGGAUUACUGGACAGUAACUGACGCUGAGGCGCGAAAGCGUGGGGAGCAAACAGGAUUAGAUACCCGAGUAGUC
This 443-nucleotide ribosomal RNA is filed under the name uncultured bacterium. RNAcentral describes it as "partial 16S ribosomal RNA". It matches the Rfam family "Bacterial small subunit ribosomal RNA", at positions 338 to 795 of the family's 1533-position model. The record is from RNAcentral.